This 2383-nucleotide long non-coding RNA is filed under the name Theobroma cacao (cacao). Its description in RNAcentral is "long non-coding RNA (TCAC_LNC002384)". Lineage: Eukaryota; Viridiplantae; Streptophyta; Magnoliopsida; Malvales; Malvaceae. The record is from RNAcentral.
UAUAUGUAUACUCUGAAUGGUAAUGCCAUUAUGAGUUGGCAAUGGUUAGCACCAUUUUGGGGUGAUAUAUAUAUGUGAGUAUUUGAUCAUUGUAGCAUAUCAUUCAAGUACUUGCAGUUGAGAUCAUGAAAUGUGACUUUAGGAAUAUUUGAUAGAAUGAUGAACAAGUUACCUAAAUAGGCUUGCUUGGACUUAGUGAGCUAUGCUCAUUGGGUCCAUGUGCCGAUCAUGGCUCGAAAAUUUGGGUCGUGACAUGUUUGAUACUUUAUAAUACAAUAUGGUUGCAAGUAAUGGGAUUGCAAGCAAUGUGAUUGCAAAGAAAAUAACAUUAUAGUGUUUGGUAUACAAGUAAAAUAAUGAUUAAAAUGCAUGAAAGAUAACAUUGUAGUGUUUGGUUUACAAGUACUUUGUCACGACCCAAAUUCCGGGCCAUGAUCGGCGCAUGGACCCAAUGGACGUAGUUCACUAAGCCCAAGCAAGCCUAUUAAUCUGACAUAUUCAUCAUUCCAUCAUAAACUGCUAAGUCAUAUAUCAUAACUUAGAAUCAAAAUAAUAUUGAACAUUGCCCCUCAUACUAGCAUACCAAUCAAGUGUAUAUACACUGUCUACAACAUGUAUCUUAAUAAUUCACAUUAGGUUCGUCUAUUCAUAACAAAAGAAGACUCGAUGUCCAGCAGAGAAACUUGACGAAUGUACAGCUACUAAAUGCCGAGACACCUACCAAUAGUCGAGUCUACAAAGGUACCUCGACCUAAUUACCAGCUGCUCGUAAUCUGAAAACAUGAAGUUGAAAGCGGUGAACAUAAACUCAGUGAGUGAACAAGAAAAGGAACAAGCAUACCAUAAGGAAUGUUUAACAAAAUCAUGAUGCAUUCAUUUUCUCAAAACAAUGCAAUUGUUUUGGCUCUUUUAAACCCCUCAUGUAAACCCCACAUGAGUAAAUCACUUGACAAAGAUCCAUGCUCAACUAUGGUACCAAAGAAAUGGGAAAUAUGGUAAAAACCCACAAGUUAGCAAAAUGGACAGAAAGUUUCUCGUUGUAGCGAGUUUCAAAACAUCAAGGAAAAAGUCUCAUUUUCCCUUAAAACAAGCCAUCCUACUAAAAUAACAAUAGCAACAUGUAACACAUGUAAACUCCCAAAUUUCAACAAAUCAAAUGCUCACAUAUUUGCAUUUACAACCAUAUACCCAUCAUCAUCAUGCACACCAUCCCAUCAUCAUCAUCAUACACACCAUCCCAUCAUCAUCAUUCCUAGCUCAUGCACACUGCACUCCCUACUCGCACAUGGCUAGGUCAUCAUCGAGUUAUACGCACUCCCUACUCGCACAUAAUCGGGUCAUCAUCGGCUUAUGCGCACUCCCUACUCGCACAUAGCCAAGUCAAUAUCAUUACACAACAAUGUAUUCAUACAUAUAUAUCAACACAAUGUGGUAGUGCAUGAAUCAAUAAUAGUCACAUGUCACAACAUAAACCAUUUCUCAACAUAAAUCAUUCAAACACUUUGUACAAAACAGUCACAUUCCCAAAAUAGUUUUGAUAGGCAGUCCAUUCAUCGGUAUGAGGAGUAGAAAUACUCAUAUUUUUAGUCCACGGGUACAGUCCUUUACUCAUAUCCAAUGGCUCACCACCUAGCCAUAAUCCAUGACACAUAUUCCAAUUAAAUUAUAUCUAACAGUCAUAAGCUAUUUCAGGCUCGAUAUAUAUAUGAUAUGAAAUUAAAAAUGCACAGGUAGUCAUCUAGACCCGGUAUUGGCCUAAGUCGAUUUUUUUAACCGAUUAAUUGGCCAAUGUGUCCAAUUUCACUCCAACUUGCUCCAUUUCUUUUCCAAUCCCUCAAUUCACCAAGCACAAACUAAUUAACACACAAUUAGGCAAAAUUUAUCUUCAUUUUUCUUCUUAGAACUUUCGGCCAACAAGGGUACACUAACUUCGUGAUUUUUUUCUACUUAAUUUUCUCACCAUUAUUCAUUAAUUCCUACACCAAAAACUAUUAUUUCUUAAUCAAAUCACCUAGAAUAACAUCCCAUUCUUCCUCAUUAUUCACUUAGAGAAUUCGGCUAUUGAUGGGCACCUAACCUUUGGUGGUUUUCUUCACUUGUUUUCAUGCUACACAUCAUUAAUCACCUAAAAACACUAACAUACCUAAAAAUCAAACCAAUCCAAGAUCAUUCUCUCUCCAUACCCAUUUUGCCUACCACUUAUUCACUAUGAAAUCAUGUUUCUCCACCAUAGAAAUAAGAAAAUAAAGCAUGGGUAUUGUAAAUCUCAAGUAAAACUAAAGAAUUUUCACUUUACCUUGCUUAAUUCCUUGGAAUCCCACACUUUUUCUUCAAUUUUCCCACCUAGGGUUUGCGUUCUUUUCUUUCCUUUUCACUUCAUGCU